UACAGAGGGGGCAAGCGUUAUUCGGAAUUAUUGGGCGUAAAGGGCGCGUAGGCGGCAUGGCAAGUGGAUGGUGAAAUCCCUCGGCUUAACCGAGGAACUGCCGUCCAAACUGCUUCGCUUGAGACCGGGAGAGGUGAGUGGAAUUCCCAGUGUAGCGGUGAAAUGCGUAGAUAUUGGGAAGAACACCCGUGGCGAAGGCGGCUCUCUGGGACGGUACUGACGCUGAGACGCGAAAGCGUGGGGAGCGAACAGG
This 253-nucleotide ribosomal RNA is filed under the name uncultured bacterium. RNAcentral describes it as "partial 16S ribosomal RNA". It matches the Rfam family "Bacterial small subunit ribosomal RNA", at positions 524 to 776 of the family's 1533-position model. The record is from RNAcentral.